Molecule: ribosomal RNA, 440 nt
Filed under: uncultured bacterium
Lineage: Bacteria
Description: partial 16S ribosomal RNA
Rfam family: Bacterial small subunit ribosomal RNA
Source: RNAcentral
CCUACGGGUGGCAGCAGUAGGGAAUAUUGCUCAAUGGGGGAAACCCUGAAGCAGCAACGCCGCGUGGAGGAUGAAGGUUUUCGGAUUGUAAACUUCUUUCGUCAGGGAAGAUAAUGACGGUAUCUAACGAAUAAGCACCGGCUAAGUCCGUGCCAGCAGCCGCGGUAAUACGGAGGGUGCAAGCGUUACUCGGAAUGACUGGGCGUAAAGAGCGCGUAGGCGGGUUAGCAAGUCAGAUGUGAAAUCCUAUGGCUUAACCGUGGAACUGCAUUUGAAACUGUUAUUCUAGAGUAUGGGAGAGGUAAGUGGAAUUCUUGGUGUAGGGGUGAAAUCCGUAGAGAUCAGGAGGAAUACUCGUUGCGAAGGCGACCUGCUGGAACAUAACUGACGCUGAUGCGCGAAAGCGUGGGGAGCAAACAGGAUUAGAUACCCUUGUAGUC